Anguilla anguilla (European eel) is the source of this 1437-nucleotide long non-coding RNA. RefSeq lists it as uncharacterized. The record is from RefSeq and is a predicted model, not a curated record. NCBI's taxonomy places the organism in Eukaryota, Metazoa, Chordata, Actinopteri, Anguilliformes, Anguillidae. The transcript has 2 exons.
GCAAUUGGCAUGCUGACUGCAGGAAUGUCCGGUAGAGCUGUUGCCAGAGUAAUGGGUGUUCAUUUCUCCACCCUAAGCCGCCUCCAGCGUCGUUUCAGAGAUUUUGGAAGUUCGUCCAACAGACUACGUGUAACCAUGCCAGCCCAGGACCGCCACAUCCGACUUCUUCACCUGUGGGAUCGUCUGAGGCUAGCCACACGGACUGCUGUUUACAGAACCAUAGAAUUUCUGCACAAACUGUCAGAAAUCGCCUCAGGGAAACUCACCUGCGUGCUCGACGUCCUCACUGCAUUUUGAUUUGUCUGCAGUUCCGCGUCAAUCGACGCAAGUGGGCAAGAGCUCACCUUCGAUGGCCACUUCUUCCAUGUUCUCCUAGUUCUUUCAUGGCCUGCAUACUCACCAGACAUGUCACCCAUUGAGCAUGUUUGGCAUGCUCUGGACCGGCACUGUGAUGCCGCGCUAGCGGGACUCACUUGUUUAACAGAAUGAGUGUGACCAGGUGGUACUGGAUGGUGGUGUACAGAGACAGCGUCACUCCAGAAGUCAGAUGCCAAAGUACUGGUUUAUUUACAGGGCUUCCAAAAAUCACCAAUUAAAACAAAAAAAAAAAAACAUCUUACGCAAGGUACUGUACAUUCCCGGGAAAGCAAUAAAAUGGCCUUAGUAGCAGGUAGAAUUAGUAAUUAGUAAUUAGCAGAUAGCUUUAGCAUGUAGCAUGAUAGCAUUACCCAGCCUCACAGCAAGCUGUUCGUCCAAAGAAAAAACCUCACUGAAAGAAACAGGCCCCAUUAUAUAUAUUUCCCAUAAUUGAGCUAAACUAUUCCCCAGGGUACUCCAAUUUACAUAGCCACAAUGGACAAAAGUAAUACAUGCAAUAACAGUUACAAAUUACACCAGUUCAAGUCAUUUCAACAAUACCAUGGUUAUUUCUUUGAAGUACAUUCUUGGAUAUACAUAAUCAAUCAUAUUACAUCAAAAUACGUCAUGUCUCAAAAUAUCAACACCCCCCCCUUUAAAUUAUGUCUUUCACUCAACCGGCAAAUAGGCACGUGAACGACGCACACGCGCCCUAGAAACCCAGCCGACAGCUGAAUGCGGAAGUGGAGGUGUUUGUGAUUGAACUUUCCCACCAAUAUCCAACAACUUCGUACAACUAUUGAAGAGCAGUGGGACAAUAUUUCACAGGCUACAAAAAACAAUUUGAUCAAUGCAAUGCGAAGGAGAUGUGUUGCGUUGCAUGAGGCAAAUGGUGGUCACAUAAGAUACUGAUCGGUAUUCUGUUCAUUUCACGGUAUCUUCUUUUUUGGGGAAUCUACGACUAACAAAUGCAUGUCUGUAUCCCCAAUCUCAUGAAAUCCAUGGAUAAAUGCUUAAUGAAUCUAUUUCAGCUGACUGAUUUAUGUUUAUUACCUUUGAACUCAAUAAAAUCUUUGAAAU